This 22-nucleotide microRNA is filed under the name Mus musculus (house mouse). RNAcentral's name for it is "mmu-miR-1901". Lineage: Eukaryota; Metazoa; Chordata; Mammalia; Rodentia; Muridae. The record is from miRBase by way of RNAcentral.
CCGCUCGUACUCCCGGGGGUCC